UACGUAGGGUGCAAGCGUUGCCCGGAUUUAUUGGGCGUAAAGGGCGCGUAGGCGGCUCGGCACGUCCGUUGUGAAAUCGCCCGGCUCAACUGGGCGGGGUCAGCGGAUACGGUCGAGCUCGAGCAAGCUAGGGGGCAAUGGAAUUCCCGGUGUAGUGGUGGAAUGCGUAGAUAUCGGGAGGAACACCAGUGGCGAAGGCGGCAUCCUGGACCGGUAUUGACGCUGAGGCGCGAAAGCCAGGGGAGCAAACGGG
RNAcentral lists this ribosomal RNA (253 nucleotides) under uncultured bacterium. RNAcentral's name for it is "partial 16S ribosomal RNA". It matches the Rfam family "Bacterial small subunit ribosomal RNA", at positions 524 to 776 of the family's 1533-position model. The record is from RNAcentral.